GCAAACAUUCAACCAAGAAGUUUAAAUUAUCUGAACUAAGGGCCCAGUAGCAUUGUGUCAACAAUAAUGCAAGCUUCUAAAUUAACUGCAUAUUGGAGAUA
Molecule: long non-coding RNA, 101 nt
Organism: Haliotis rubra (blacklip abalone)
Lineage: Eukaryota; Metazoa; Mollusca; Gastropoda; Lepetellida; Haliotidae
Exons: 3
Source: RefSeq, a predicted model, not a curated record